This 446-nucleotide ribosomal RNA is filed under the name uncultured bacterium. RNAcentral describes it as "partial 16S ribosomal RNA". It matches the Rfam family "Bacterial small subunit ribosomal RNA", at positions 338 to 795 of the family's 1533-position model. The record is from RNAcentral.
CCUACGGGUGACAGCAGUCGAGAAUCAUUCACAAUGGGGGAAACCCUGAUGGUGCGACGCCGCGUGGGGGAAUGAAGGUCUUCGGAUUGUAAACCCCUGUAAUGUGGGAGCAAAUUAAAAAGAUAGGACCACAAGAGGAAGAGACGGCUAACUCUGUGCCAGCCGCCGCGGUAAAACAGAGGGGUCAAGAGUUGUUUGGAAUCAAGGGGCGGAAAGCGUGCGUGGGCUGUUUAGUAAGUCGUGUGUGAAAGGCGGGGGCUCAACCCACGGACGGCACAGGAAAUCGCGAGACUAGAGUAAUGGAGGGGGAACCGGAAUUCUCGGUGUAGCAGUGAAAUGCGUAGAUAUCGGGAGGAACACUCGUGGCGAAGGCGGGUUCCUGGACAUUAACUGACGCUGAGGCACGAAGGCCAGGGGAGCGAAAGGGAUUAGAUACCCUUGUAGUC